RNAcentral lists this long non-coding RNA (752 nucleotides) under Mustela putorius furo (domestic ferret). RNAcentral's name for it is "lncRNA (ENSMPUG00000029701.1)". Lineage: Eukaryota; Metazoa; Chordata; Mammalia; Carnivora; Mustelidae. The record is from RNAcentral.
GCAGAGACUGGUAAGGAAGACUGAGUGUGAAGCUUCCACAGGCCUUUGAGAUGUCAAUGAUGGGCAGUAAAUCCCCCUCUGAGAAAGGUGGCUGUUUUAUUUGUGUGUGUGUGUGGGGGGGGGGAGUAAAAAGGAAGAGAGCCACUUCAAAAUGUCUUUGGUUAUAAACGGGAGCAAGUUAUGAUUGGCUCAAUCACAUUGGCAAAAAUGCAAAAAUGUCUAAGCCUGCUAAUGAUUUUUUUUUUCUUUUAGCAAAAUGAUUCAUUUGGAUUUUGAAGGGAUUAGGAAGACACAAAUUUGGGGAUCCUGGAAAUGGAACCAAGAGCUCCAGUAUAAGAAACUAAGAACUCCGGACGCCUGGGUGGCUCAGUGGUUAAGCCGCUGCCUUCGGCUCGGGUCAUGGUCCCAGGGUCCUGGGAUCGAGCCCCGCAUCGGGCUCUCUGCUCGGCAGGGAGCCUGCUUCCUCCUCUCUCUCUGCCUGCCUCUCUGCCUACUUACGAUCUCUGUCUGUCAAAUAAAUUAAAAAAAAAAAAAAAAAAAAAGAAAAGAAACUAAGAACUCAGUCCUUCAGUUAGUUUCCCUCAAACUAUUGGUAUUUGGUCAACUACUCCUGACCCUAGCAGAAAGCCUGGGGAGUAAAAACCAGUGAGGAAGGGUCAGGUCUCAUUUUGUGACUUCAAAGUUACCUAAUUUGCUCUCACAGUUCUCUUCUCCCUUUAAACUAUGUGUCUUAGUUUGUAACCAGAAAUUAC